RNAcentral lists this ribosomal RNA (253 nucleotides) under uncultured bacterium. RNAcentral describes it as "partial 16S ribosomal RNA". It matches the Rfam family "Bacterial small subunit ribosomal RNA", at positions 524 to 776 of the family's 1533-position model. The record is from RNAcentral.
UACGUAGGGGGCUAGCGUUGUCCGGAUUUAUUGGGCGUAAAGAGCGUGUAGGCGGCCAGGUAGGUCUGCUGUGAAAACUCGAGGCUCAACCUCGAGACGUCGGCGGAAACCAUCUGGCUAGAGUCCUGAAGAGGAGAGUGGAAUUCCUGGUGUAGCGGUGAAAUGCGCAGAUAUCAGGAAGAACACCCGUGGCGAAGGCGGCUCUCUGGGACGGUACUGACGCUGAGACGCGAAAGCGUGGGGAGCGAACAGG